GAUGAACGCUGGCGGCGUGCCUAAUACAUGCAAGUAGAACGCUAAAGGCGGAGCUUGCUCUUCUGGAUGAGUUGCGAACGGGUGAGUAACGCGUAGGUAACCUGCCUGGUAGCGGGGGAUAACUUUUGGAAACGAUAGCUAAUACCGCAUAACAACAGUUAUUGCAUGAUAACUGUUUAAAAGUGGCAGCUGCUCGACUACGAGAUGGAGCUGCGUUGUAUUAGCUAGUUGGUGGGGUAACGGCUCACCAAGGCGACGAUACGUAGCCGACCUGAGAGGGGGAUAGGCCACACGGGGACGGAGACGCGGCCCAGACUCCUACGGGAGGCAGCAGUAGGGUAUCGUCGGCAAUGGACGGAAGUCUGACCGAGCAACGCCGCGUGAGUGAAGAAGGUGUUCGGAUCGUAAAGCCCUGUUUUAAGAGAAGAACGGGUGUGAGAGGGGACAGUUCGCGCGGUAACGGUAUCUUACCAGAAAGACCGGGCUAACUACGU
This 494-nucleotide ribosomal RNA is filed under the name uncultured bacterium. RNAcentral's name for it is "partial 16S ribosomal RNA". It matches the Rfam family "Bacterial small subunit ribosomal RNA", at positions 28 to 506 of the family's 1533-position model. The record is from RNAcentral.